GACGAACGCUGGCGGCGUGCUCAACACAUGCAAGUCGAACGGAAAGGCCCUGCUUUUGUGGGGUGCUCGAGUGGCGAACGGGUGAGUAACACGUGAGUAACCUGCCCUUGACUUUGGGAUAACUUCAGGAAACUGGGGCUAAUACCGGAUAGGAGCUCCUGCUGCAUGGUGGGGGUUGGAAAGUUUCGGCGGUUGGGGAUGGACUCGCGGCUUAUCAGCUUGUUGGUGGGGUAGUGGCUUACCAAGGCUUUGACGGGUAGCCGGCCUGAGAGGGUGACCGGCAACAUUGGGACUGAGAUACGGCCCAGACUCCUACGGGAGGCAGCAGUGGGGAAUAUUGCACAAUGGGCGGAAGCCUGAUGCAGCAACGCCGCGUGCGGGAUGACGGCCUUCGGGUUGUAAACCGCUUUCGCCUGUGACGAAGCGUGAGUGACGGUAAUGGGUAAAGAAGCACCGGCUAACUACGUG
RNAcentral lists this ribosomal RNA (468 nucleotides) under uncultured bacterium. RNAcentral's name for it is "partial 16S ribosomal RNA". It matches the Rfam family "Bacterial small subunit ribosomal RNA", at positions 28 to 507 of the family's 1533-position model. The record is from RNAcentral.